This 440-nucleotide ribosomal RNA is filed under the name uncultured bacterium. RNAcentral's name for it is "partial 16S ribosomal RNA". It matches the Rfam family "Bacterial small subunit ribosomal RNA", at positions 338 to 795 of the family's 1533-position model. The record is from RNAcentral.
CCUACGGGAGGCAGCAGUGGGGAAUAUUGCACAAUGGGGGAAACCCUGAUGCAGCGACGCCGCGUGAGCGAUGAAGUAUUUCGGUAUGUAAAGCUCUAUCAGCAGGGAAGAAAAUGACGGUACCUGACUAAGAAUCCCCGGCUAACAACUUUCCAGCAGCCGCGGUAAUACGUAGGGGGCAAGCGUUAUCCGGAUUUACUGGGUGUAAAGGGAGCGUAGACGGUCCUGCAAGCCAGAUGUGAAACCCCGAGGCUCAACCCCGGGACUGCAUUUGGAACUGUAAGGCUAGAGAGUAGGAGAGGCAGGCGGAAUGCAUAGUGUAGCGGUGAAAUGCGUAGAGAUUAGGCGGAACACCAGUGGCGAAGGCGGCCUGCUGGACGAUGACUGACGUUGAGGCUCGAAAGCGUGGGGAGCAAACAGGAUUAGAUACCCGUGUAGUC